Non-coding RNA from Labeo rohita (rohu), 583 nucleotides. NCBI's taxonomy places the organism in Eukaryota, Metazoa, Chordata, Actinopteri, Cypriniformes, Cyprinidae. The record is from the annotation of a RefSeq genome assembly.
AAUUGUAUUUUGUGUCUGUUAAUGAGUGACUGUCUUCAGGUAAAUGAUCUGGAGUGUGUUUGCAUAUUGAUCAGAUGCUUCAGUGCUCUGAGAGUGUUUAUAGUGCUGUGAGUUUAACACUUCAUCACUGACACACACAACAAUCUUCAUCAACAUGACCUUCAUCAUCAUCUUCAUCUGGACUCUCACAGCGUUUGCUCAAGAGUGUAGAGGACAGAUCACCGUCACUCAGAGUCCCUCAAUGACAGCAGCUCAACCAGGAGAAACAGUCACAAUCAACUGUAAAACCAGCAGUGAUGUUCACUAUGAUGCAGGAGGGUUUUUAUUUAUAACUACUUCAUAUACUUACUAUUUAAGCUGGUACUUACAAAAACCUGGAGAAGCUCCUAAACUCCUCAUUUACAAAGUAACGGAGCGUUACAGUGGAGCUCCAUCUAGAUUCAGUGGCACAAGUUCAUCUGCAAGAGAUUUCACUCUGACCAUCAGUGGAGUCCAGACUGAAGAUGCUGGACAUUAUUACUGUCAGAGUGUACAUGAAAUCAACAGUAACUGGGUGUUCACACAGUGAUAAAGAGUCGUACAA